Non-coding RNA from Myotis lucifugus (little brown bat), 705 nucleotides. The record is from the annotation of a RefSeq genome assembly. Lineage: Eukaryota; Metazoa; Chordata; Mammalia; Chiroptera; Vespertilionidae.
AUGGCCUGGGCCCCUCUCCUCCUCACCCUCCUGGCUCACUGCACAGGAUCCUGGGCCCAGUCUGUGCUGACUCAGCCAUCCUCAGUGUCGGGGUCCCUGGGCCAGAGGGUCACCAUCUCCUGCACUGGAAGCAGCUCCAACGUUGGGCGUGGUGACUAUGGGUCCUGGCUCCAGCAGCUCCCAGGAAAGGCCCCCAAACUCCUCAUCUAUGAGAGUAGCAAACGACCCUCAGGGGUCCCUGAUCGAUUCUCUGGCUCCAGGUCUGGCAACUCGGCCUCCCUGACCAUCACGGGGCUGCAGGCUGAGGACGAGGCCGACUAUUACUGCGAGUCAUGGGACAAUAGUCUCAGUGCUCCCACAGUGCUGCAGGCCUGUGGGGAACCGCCCUCCCUCUCUGCAUCUCCGGGAGCCAAGGCCAGACUCACCUGCACCCUGAGCCGUGGCUCCAAUGUUGGUGACUACUACAUAUCCUGGUACCAGCAGAAGCCAGGGAGCCCUUUCCGGUUUCUCCUGUCCUACUACUCAGACUCAAUUAAGGAACAGGGCUCCGGGGUCCCCAGCCGAUUCUCUGGAUCCAAAGACACAUCGGCCAAUUCGGGACUCCUGCUCAUCUCCGGUUUGAAAUCUGAGGACGAGGCUGACUAUUACUGUGCUACAGACCAUGGCAGUGGGAACAGCUACCAUUGCACACAGUGUCUCAGAUGA